UUGACCUCAAAUCAGGUAGGACUACCCGCUGAACUUAAGCAUAUG
Molecule: ribosomal RNA, 45 nt
Filed under: Inocybe cf. neuquenensis CONCF0831
Lineage: Eukaryota; Fungi; Basidiomycota; Agaricomycetes; Agaricales; Inocybaceae
Description: partial large subunit ribosomal RNA
Source: RNAcentral